This 169-nucleotide ribosomal RNA is filed under the name uncultured Alteromonas sp. Its description in RNAcentral is "partial 16S ribosomal RNA". It matches the Rfam family "Bacterial small subunit ribosomal RNA", at positions 355 to 514 of the family's 1533-position model. Lineage: Bacteria; Pseudomonadati; Pseudomonadota; Gammaproteobacteria; Alteromonadales; Alteromonadaceae. The record is from RNAcentral.
UGGGGAAUAUUGCACAAUGGGGGAAACCCUGAUGCAGCCAUGCCGCGUCGUGUGAAGAAGGCCUUCGGGUUGUAAAGCACUUUCAGUUGUGAAGAAAAGUUAGUAGUUAAUAGCCUGCUAGCCGUGACGUUACCAACAGAAGAAGCACCGGCUAACUCCGUGCCAGCAG